AGUGAACGCUGGCGGUAGGCCUAACACAUGCAAGUCGAACGGCAGCACAGUAAGAGCUUGCUCUUACGGGUGGCGAGUGGCGGACGGGUGAGGAAUACAUCGGAAUCUACUUUUUCGUGGGGGAUAACGUAGGGAAACUUACGCUAAUACCGCAUACGACCUACGGGUGAAAGCAGGGGAUCUUCGGACCUUGCGCGAUUGAAUGAGCCGAUGUCGGAUUAGCUAGUUGGCGGGGUAAAGGCCCACCAAGGCGACGAUCCGUAGCUGGUCUGAGAGGAUGGUCAGCCACACUGGAACUGAAACACGGUCCAGACUCCUACGGGAGGGAGCAGUGGGGAAUAUUGGACAAUGGGCGCAAGCCUGAUCCAGCCAUACCGCGUGGGUGAAGAAGGCCUUCGGUUUGUAAAGCCCUUUUGUUGGGAAAGAAAAGCAGCAGGUUAAUACCCCGCUGUUCUGACGGUACCCAAAGAAUAAGCACCGGCUAACUUCGUG
RNAcentral lists this ribosomal RNA (492 nucleotides) under uncultured bacterium. RNAcentral's name for it is "partial 16S ribosomal RNA". It matches the Rfam family "Bacterial small subunit ribosomal RNA", at positions 29 to 507 of the family's 1533-position model. The record is from RNAcentral.